AUAACAAUUAGGUCGAUAAAUAUUCUGUAGAAUAAAAGAAAAAGAGAUAAGAUAGGGAUAACGGAAGGCGGCACAAUUGAAAGAGACGACAUGAUUGUGCAGAGUGCAACAAGCGUACCGAUGAAUUUGAAUCUUCCUCACCUCUAUCAAGUCUCGGCAUAUCAGGUUCAAGGGUGAGCUAUUCAUUCGAGAUUGUAUUGAUAUGGGAGUCAAACGAAAGAGGAAGGCUCAAGUUCUUGAAUAAUUGUUCGACUAUUAGAGGC
This is a long non-coding RNA of Solanum lycopersicum (tomato), 263 nucleotides long. RefSeq lists it as uncharacterized. NCBI's taxonomy places the organism in Eukaryota, Viridiplantae, Streptophyta, Magnoliopsida, Solanales, Solanaceae. The record is from RefSeq and is a predicted model, not a curated record.